This 16-nucleotide ribosomal RNA is filed under the name Scedosporium dehoogii. RNAcentral describes it as "partial 28S ribosomal RNA". The record is from RNAcentral. Lineage: Eukaryota; Fungi; Ascomycota; Sordariomycetes; Microascales; Microascaceae.
ACUAUAACUCCAGAUG